GGACGGUAGCACAGGGGAGCUUGCUCCUUGGGUGACGAGUGGCGGACGGGUGAGUAAUGUCUGGGGAUCUGCCCGAUAGAGGGGGAUAACCACUGGAAACGGUGGCUAAUACCGCAUAACGUCGCAAGACCAAAGAGGGGGACCUUCGGGCCUCUCACUAUCGGAUGAACCCAGAUGGGAUUAGCUAGUAGGCGGGGUAAUGGCCCACCUAGGCGACGAUCCCUAGCUGGUCUGAGAGGAUGACCAGCCACACUGGAACUGAGACACGGUCCAGACUCCUACGGGAGGCAGCAGUGGGGAAUAUUGCACAAUGGGCGCAAGCCUGAUGCAGCCAUGCCGCGUGUAUGAAGAAGGCCUUCGGGUUGUAAAGUACUUUCAGUGGGGAGGAAGGCGAUGGAGUUAAUAGCUUCGUCGAUUGACGUUACUCGCAGAAGAAGCACCGGCUAACUCCGUGCCAGCAGCCGCGGUAAUACGGAGGGUGCAAGCGUUAAUCGGAAUUACUGGGCGUAAAGCGCACGCAGGCGGUUUGUUAAGUCGGAUGUGAAAUCCCCGCGCUUAACGUGGGAACUGCAUUUGAAACUGGCAAGCUAGAGUCUUGUAGAGGGGGGUAGAAUUCCAGGUGUAGCGGUGAAAUGCGUAGAGAUCUGGAGGAAUACCGGUGGCGAAGGCGGCCCCCUGGACAAAGACUGACGCUCAGGUGCGAAAGCGUGGGGAGCAAACAGGAUUAGAUACCCUGGUAGUCCACGCUGUAAACGAUGUCGACUUGGAGGUUGUGCCCUUGAGGCGUGGCUUCCGGAGCUAACGCGUUAAGUCGACCGCCUGGGGAGUACGGCCGCAAGGUUAAAACUCAAAUGAAUUGACGGGGGCCCGCACAAGCGGUGGAGCAUGUGGUUUAAUUCGAUGCAACGCGAAGAACCUUACCUACUCUUGACAUCCAGAGAAUUCGCUAGAGAUAGCUUAGUGCCUUCGGGAACUCUGAGACAGGUGCUGCAUGGCUGUCGUCAGCUCGUGUUGUGAAAUGUG
RNAcentral lists this ribosomal RNA (1023 nucleotides) under uncultured bacterium. Its description in RNAcentral is "bacterial SSU rRNA". It matches the Rfam family "Bacterial small subunit ribosomal RNA", at positions 64 to 1076 of the family's 1533-position model. The record is from RNAcentral.